RNAcentral lists this ribosomal RNA (433 nucleotides) under Congochromis squamiceps. RNAcentral describes it as "partial 16S ribosomal RNA". It matches the Rfam family "Bacterial large subunit ribosomal RNA", at positions 1969 to 2551 of the family's 2925-position model. Lineage: Eukaryota; Metazoa; Chordata; Actinopteri; Cichliformes; Cichlidae. The record is from RNAcentral.
UUGUCUUUUAAAUGAAGACCUGUAUGAAUGGCAUGACGAGGGCUUAACUGUCUCCUUUUUCCAGUCAAUGAAAUUGAUCUUCCCGUGCAGAAGCGGGAAUACACCCAUAAGACGAGAAGACCCUAUGGAGCUUUAGACGCCAGAGCAGACUAUGUUAAACACCCCAGCAUAAAGGACAAAACUAAUUAGCCCCUGCUCUAAUGUCUUUGGUUGGGGCGACCACGGGGAAACAAGAAACCCCCACAUGGACUAAGAGCACGCCACUCUCACAACCCCGAGUCACAACUCAAAGUACCAGAACUUCUGACCAAUAAGAUCCGGCACUAGCCGAUCAGUGGACCAAGUUACCCUAGGGAUAACAGCGCAAUCCUCUUUUAGAGCCCAUAUCGACAAGAGGGUUUACGACCUCGAUGUUGGAUCAGGACAUCCUAGU